This is a small nucleolar RNA of Lemur catta (Ring-tailed lemur), 104 nucleotides long. RefSeq annotates it as small nucleolar RNA U13. The record is from RefSeq and is a predicted model, not a curated record. The transcript has a single exon. Lineage: Eukaryota; Metazoa; Chordata; Mammalia; Primates; Lemuridae.
ACUCUUUUGUAGUUCAUAGGCAGGAUGAUUGGGUUUUCACACUCGAGUGUGAGGUGUGCCUCUCUCAAACCUUGUCAUGAUGGUGGCACAUUACCUGUCUGACA